GCCAACAUGGUAUAGUGGUUUGAGAGUUAAAUUGUGACUCUGGAGACCAGGGUUCAAUUCCCCAUUUGGCC
Non-coding RNA from Phrynosoma platyrhinos (Desert horned lizard), 71 nucleotides. The record is from the annotation of a GenBank genome assembly. Lineage: Eukaryota; Metazoa; Chordata; Lepidosauria; Squamata; Phrynosomatidae.